GGUUAUAGCUCAGUGGUAGAACAUCUGCUCUGCAUCCAGAAGGUCCUGGGUUCAAUCAUCCAUAUGUCCAGGUAGAGCUG
Non-coding RNA from Podarcis lilfordi (Lilford's wall lizard), 80 nucleotides. The record is from the annotation of a GenBank genome assembly. NCBI's taxonomy places the organism in Eukaryota, Metazoa, Chordata, Lepidosauria, Squamata, Lacertidae.